Long non-coding RNA from Pseudophryne corroboree (corroboree frog), 2329 nucleotides. RefSeq lists it as uncharacterized. The transcript has 5 exons. The record is from RefSeq and is a predicted model, not a curated record. NCBI's taxonomy places the organism in Eukaryota, Metazoa, Chordata, Amphibia, Anura, Myobatrachidae.
CAGCAGACCUGCCUCAGUGACAGGGUACGUGCCUUCAGCCCACAUGAAAGCACGCUCCUGUCAGUCAGGCAGACAUGAUUGGACAGCACUGAUCUGUCUCUCCCCCUUCCCAGUGUCACCGGCUCUCUCCCUGCCCAGCGUCUCUCCCUGCCCAGCGUACUGAUACCUGACCCCCCCCCCCCCCCCCCCUCUCCCUUGCAGCCGCCGGGUGCCAAUAUCCCGACCUCCCCCACACACCUUUACCGGAGCUUGCAGACAUGGGAACAUAUACCUGUGUGCGCACGGGGGGCGCCUGGAACGGACAGGCACCCCCCCACUGACUCACGCCGGAUGCCGACUACUAUCCUCUCCCCGCCAGUCAGGACUGCAUUACUGCCCGGCUGGUGGCCGCCCGGGAUAAUCACGGGUGCCCCACAUCGAUGUACUGUGCUAUCGCAGGGAAAGUUUGGUCUGACGGUACUCCGGGACUGUGCCCCUUGAUUGCCGUGCUCCCCCGCAAUGUGGACUAACUGCAAUUGCCGCUGCUCUAGUCUGAGCCGCCAUGGGUUGUAUGCUGGUGGAGUCCGCUGGGGAAGCAUUACGUUCUGACAAAGGAGCAGCAGGCAGUGCAAGAGAGCAGGUGCUGAGUGUGCAGGGGCUGAUCUGGAUGUCAGAUGGCACCCAUCAUGAUACUCCUGUCCAAUGUGGCUCGGCUGGUGCUGGAUAAAAGAAUGAGGAUUUGAUUGUGGCUGAUACCUGAUGUCUAAGUGUCCAGCCACCAUCCAGGACAACACCAAGAUUCCACAGGUCUCUGGUAGGCAAUUACAGUAUCUAAGUACCUUGCUUGAAAGAAAUGUUGGACUUAAGAUUUAGAGAUCGGAUUGAGCCUAUGAUAUAGGAGAUUGAUAUGUUCUAAUACAAGCCACAAUCUGGUACGCAAUUCUGUUAUCUGCGUGUAUUCAGCACAUCCUGGAUAGACAUACUACACCAUAAGCGCUUGUUCUUCUCUUUUUCUCUUCUUUCUGCAGAAUCCCUCGGCAAUUUAUAUAAAAUAUAUAUAAUAUGCAUAGGAUGGUAUUGAGCAUGAGCAGUGGCACAACCCACCCCCCCUCCCACAAUUGCCAUUAUAAAGGUGAAGAAUUUGGGCAUGGCUGCGCUGCAAGAGGCAUGGCAUUGCAGGAAAAGACUACCUUAUACCCCAGUUUUGCAACCUGCACGCCCAGACAUUGACCACCACAUGAAAAAUAUAAUCCUGAUUCACGCCCCUUACGUUAUUUGUAAUUUUUCCUCCUUAAAGUAAUGCCCCUUACACAUUAUGCCACAGACCGCAACGGCCCUUAAACAUUAUGUCACAUACCGCAAUGACCAUUACACAAUAUGACACAGACUGUAAUGCCCCUGGCACAUUAGGCCACACACCACAAUGCCUGUGACACAUUAUGACACACAAAGCAUGUGUCAUAAUGUUUAAAAUGUUUAAAAACAAUGCAGGGGAAAGAACACGUUUAGAAAGGAAAACCUAUGGACAUGUGUUUGCUGCUCAGUAACAAGGGUUCCGUUUCCAGCCACAUCCAGUUUUAACAAUAAAGUUUUACUAUCUAAAGAGACAAAGCAAAAGCUGCGUUCAUCCUUGAAAAAGCAUCCUGGUGACAUGAAACGUGUUGGAGAUACCAGCAGUAGUGGGGAGCCACGGCAAAAUCACAAUAGAAGGAAGCCGCGAGCCGCAACCGGAAGUUCCGCUCUGUCAUGCCCGGCAAGCCAGUAUCACUGAAUGAGAUCAGGAACCAUCGUGAAGUCAAAGGACACGUGAAUUCUUCCUCACACUGAAGGCAUCCAAAAUACUGUAUGACUUGGAUAAGCUGUAAAAUGUAACAUCCACUAAUCCUAGCAAAUGCUUCUGAGUGGAUUUCAGUGGGUCUCCCUUUCACUACAGGCUGUUUUAUUUCUUCACCAUGAUGAAUACAGGAUUCUGCUGGGCAGACACUACAGAAUUCCCUCCUCAUCUGACCUGGAUGCCAAGCGGGAACACAGCAAUGUUUGGGAAAGCAUGGUCCUCACAUGCAGCAUGAUAAUUACACUGAGUGCAACUGAGGACAUGAUGAUAAACACAUGUAGAGUGUAUCCCCUAUUUACACACUGUAUCAUAUAGCAGCUCAGCAUUUUCACAAUGUAUUUCCUAAUACAUUUCUAUCUCUUUUCCCCAUUCAUUUAUUUUACAACAAGAACAUAUCCAGUGCUAACUGCUAAGAGAGAAGCACGGCAAUUUAGUAGGUAUUUUUCUGCUGUCUGUCAGCUGUUGUCUACUCUGCUAUCUCAUCAAACACCUAAAGUAUGUCAUCAUCAUACAAUU